CUUACUUUUUCAUUCUAAUGUGAGUAUUUCGAAAGAGAAAAAUAUGGCAUUGUUAAAGAACAAUGAGCUGACAGUCAGGAGACUUGAAUUCUGGUCCAGUUGUACCAUGAUCAGCUUGUGUGAAGUUGGCUAAGUUUUGGAGUCUUGCAAAAGGUAUCCUUCCCGAACCCUGAAGGUACCCUUCCCGCCCAUAACAUUUUGACGCCCAAUGUUUUUGGCUCUCCUGAAAGCUACUCCUGUACUCCGGAUCAUCCAUGAGGACACAGCUUCUCAGGACAUGAGGCUCUAGCCUACAGCUAUAACAUCCCAGGGACCAGGGAGUCCCACACAUCUUGAUCCAGGCAGAGCUGGAAAGAAGACUUUUGAAAAGUACUUCAAGGACUUGUGUGCGUUGCCUUUUGAUGCUGUUACAGAAUCCAGAAAGGCCAGCCACGCCGCUGAAUCAGUGUCUGAAGUUUGGGGUGCUCCCAGAGCCUUGUUACCAGAUGUUCAGUCUGAGUGUACUAAUAUUUAGUUAUUUCCCAGCAUGAGCAGACCACAUUGCUUUGCAUGCUGUGGACGGCUCAGAAUGAAAGCGGAACAAAUGUGAUUUUGAAAAAAAAAUGAAAUAAAAACACGCCACGAUUAGAUAGCUAGCCA
This 639-nucleotide long non-coding RNA is filed under the name Monodelphis domestica (gray short-tailed opossum). RNAcentral describes it as "lncRNA (ENSMODG00000048793.1)". The record is from RNAcentral. Lineage: Eukaryota; Metazoa; Chordata; Mammalia; Didelphimorphia; Didelphidae.